Long non-coding RNA from Nerophis lumbriciformis (worm pipefish), 4111 nucleotides. RefSeq lists it as uncharacterized. The record is from RefSeq and is a predicted model, not a curated record. NCBI's taxonomy places the organism in Eukaryota, Metazoa, Chordata, Actinopteri, Syngnathiformes, Syngnathidae.
GGCAAGUCAUGUUGUCACCUGGGAAUCCAGGCUGUCCUGCAGGUCCUGGAGGUCCAGGGAUGCCAGUCGUGCCACUAAAGCAGUUGACACAGGUGUCACCUUUAUCACCUGAAAUGAUGAGCAGUUAUUUUUGCCAGGACGCCCAGGCUCACCAGGAGCACAGUUUGAUCCGCCACUGGAAAAGCCGGGAGGUCCAGGCGGUCCUGUUGAUCCUGGCAGCCCGGGGCUUCCUGGACGGCCCGGAGAUCCUGGAACUGAGAGGCCUGGAUUGCCGAUAUCUCCCUUUUGGCCUCUCUCUCCUGGGAAUCCUGGAGAUCCAGGUCCACCACCACCACCACCACUAGAAAUUCCUGGUGGCCCCUGAGGUCCUGUCAAACCUGGUCAAGGAUACAAAUGGGAAUUUGUUUUUUUAAAAACUGAUGAUGUUUAAUUUGUGUUGUGUUCCACUGACCUUGCGGUCCUCUGUCUCCUUUUAAGCCAGAUGAUCCAGGGAAUCCUGGCUCCCCUUUUGGACCAACCUGUCCUGCUGUCUGUCCGCCAAUCACCUGUUAGGACAAGAAGUGUGUUCAAGUGACGGACAUCAACUAAUACAUGGAAGUCCUGGUGUUCCUGGGAAUCCAGGUAAUCCAGAAGGUCCCUAAGAAGAUUGAUAACAAGAAUCAGACAGGGGUAAUGCACUUCUUUUUUUUUUAAAUUGUGCCCAUCAUUCACAAUUCCUAUGUAAGACAAGAACACAUAUGUCUUUUUUUUGUACAUUCUCAUUUGUAAUAUAAAGCAAGUACGAGGUGGCUAAUAGUGAAGCUAAUAGACGUAAUCUAUUGCGUCAAUGAAGUCUUCUAAAAACAUCCAAAAAGCGCCAACAAUACUGCAUUUACAUCUCGUGACCUGAAUAUUGACCAAGUAUCAGGCAUAUUGUUAUUAUAAGCGCUAACAAUGAAGAAGUACUUUGAUCAGUGCAGCGAUCACAGACUAACACAACAAACAAAACUAUACAGUAUGCAGCUAUUGGCAUACUGAGCCGAAGUUGGUAAUGUUAGUUCUAGAUUAUAAAUCAUGCAUCUCACUUGGACAGUAGAAGGUUGUGGUCAUUAGCUGAGAAGUUGGUCAACUUUUAUGUUUAACUUUGGACCCGGAUAUUGUGAGAAAGACACAAAAAGACGCCCGUUUGCACCCACGUUUUGUUUAUUAUUGUGUCCCUUGCGUGAGAAUCUCAGCAGGAAGAUCUGAGCCGAGGAUGUCGUUGUCGUUUUGAGACACUCGUGAUUUAGGGCUAUAUAAAUAAACUUUGAUUGAUUGAUGAUUGAUUGAUAAACAUCCCAUCAGUCGGCAUUCCACUGAGAGCAAACAUUGUACAGUAAGUGAUUGUUUUAUUAGGUUCGUAGUUUGUAUUUAUUGUUUAGUGCUUAAUAAUAAUGCUACUUGCUGGGUCUGUUUAUCACUCAGCUUCUAAAACGUGUAGCUCAUUCUCCUUUUUUUCAGGUUAAAAAAUAUUAAACUCCUGGAUCAUCAUUUGUCCCAAAGUAGUCGUUGGUUCCCAUAAGGUCUGCCAUGAUUAGCAAUAGCGAACGCUGUGAGGUGUCUGUGAAAUUAAAGCGCCGCCGUAUGCUUAUAAUGACCAUAAUACAUAAAUAAUACUUGUUAUUAUGAAUGUUACGGCGUGGCCCAUUUGGGAGAGUGGGCGUGCCAGCAACUUAAGGGUCCCCGGUUCAAUUCCCACCUUCUACCGACCUCAUCACGUCUGUUGUGUCCUUGAGCGAGACACUUCACCAUUGCUCCUGAUGGGUCGUGGUUAGGGCCUUGCAUGGCAGCUCCCGCCAUCAGUGUGUGAAUGUGUGUGUGAAUGGGUGAAUGUGGAAAUAGUGUCAAAGCGCUUUGAGUACCUUGAAGGUAGAAAAGCACUAUACAAGUAUAAACCAUUUACCAUUACCAUUUACUACAUUACACAUACACUAUAAACGCUGAUGGAGGUUUUUGGAUGUUUUUUAGAGCACUUUAUAGAUGGGUUGCAUAUGACGUCACACUACUAUUUUCUUCUUUGCGGUUUAAUUCAGAUGAUGGUCAAGCAGCUUGAGCGUAGGUAGCAUUAAAACAAGUGAGAGUGAGUGUAGAGUUUGAGCAGACUAUGCCCUAUUGCUGUUCUGUUCUUGGGUGUUCCAGUCGUUCAAAUAGAGAGAUAGGAAAGAGCUUUCAUAGAGUCCCGAAAGAAGUGGUUCAUAAAGGAACUAAUGUUACGGAAAAAAAUUAAAGUGCAUCGAAGGAAAUGUCUCUUAAAAAUAUCACUUUCAUCAUCUUGUGCAAUACAAUCGGACCAUUCUUGUGUCUGCAGCGAUCACUUUGUUAAAUGUUUGUUUGAACAUUUGACUUGUUUGAGAAACUUGCUGUGGUGCAAUUCAGUUUAUUCUCUACUAUAUUAGUAGUGUUUGAGAGCAGAACUAAACGCAAAGAAAGGACAAGAGAUCGCAUUGUGUUCUUUUGUGGUUGCUACGCCUAAAUAUAACUACAAAGACCUGCUUGUGCAUAUAAACUAAAUAUUUUAAUUGUUGGUCCAAUCCACCGUAUUUCCUUUAUCCAUUUUUUAUAACAGAAACUAAAAGCUUAGUUGUUGUGCAGGAAAGCCAAGUGCUUUAUUCGACACAUUUAGCGGCUUUAAUUGGUGCUAUUUGUUAGCAUCAAGAAAAUAUCCUUAAUAGUAUCAAUAAACUAGAUGAAUAAAUCUCUGGUAGGCUCAACAAAAUAUACUGAAUCUUGAUAUCACUAGCUAACAUUGCUGAACAACAGGGACAUCUGCAGCUAAAUAAUGAAACAAAAUAUGAACUUCACACCAUAAAAACAACUGCAGACAGGAAAUCAACUGCAAACAAACUUAUCCUUUUUUCUCAUUAGCGUUACAAUCACAGCAGCACGACACUCGUUAUGUCAAUCAAGUACAUUACUUAGCGUUGCACGAAUAAAUCGAACUUUGUCUUUCACCAAUUUAUGUUUAAUUUGUGGACCCCUCAGAUGUAAAGACAUGAUGUGCCUCCAAUCUUUUCUUCUGUAAAUACCCUAAGUGUCAAAUGAUGUGAGGUCGUAGCUUGCAGUAACAUCUUGGUGAAAUGGUUUAAAUCAUUCAAAAAAUAAGUUUUCUUAAGAGUGUCCAAAUCCACUUCAUCCUGUUAUAAAUAUUUGUUUCAUGAUCGCUUUUAUAUUUGCCUCUAAACCUUUCAAAUCACGCCCAAAUCUGCACUGAUUCAGCUAAAUAAACAGUAGCCUAAUGGGGCUACGAGAUGAGUUUGCUAAGUGUAAAAUUGAGCUGCAUUUUUAAAUUAAAGAAACUGCUGUUCUAAAUGUGUCCACUGGAUGUCGCAAUAGCAAUUCUGUUAGGCAAGCAAAUAGCUACAUGGCAGCCCCAGAGUUUGACCUAUAAGUUAAAAUUCCUCACAUGAAUCAACAGACCGUACAAAAUAACGAAUGUACCUUUAGGGUGUAGGCUCAACCAGUGAGUAUCUACCACAUUUGGUACAUACUUUUGGGGGACUGACAAGCACGUGUGUGCAAGAUUUUAGCAAGAUUUGUUGAAAAACAUGGCCGCCUUUAAGCAAAACAUUGAUGCGAAACCUGGCAACUAACUGUAAGUAAUAGAUUGUUCAAUGAUUAUGCAACUUUGAGGAUAUUUGUAUUACAUACAUGUAUACUAGCAUGUUUUCCAAAGCACCACAACCUAUACGGUAAAGUGGGGCUUUAAAACAAACACUUAAAUUGCUGCGUGAGACACUGCACAUUGAUAUAGUUCUGUGAAAAUGAUUGUCUUCUGUGCAAAUUGAAAGAAAGUGAAUAAUGGAAAUGACAAAUGAGGUAGUUAAUACAUAGGAUAUUUUUUAUAUAUGCUUUAUUUUGUUUUUUGUUCAAUCCUAGACGGGCUGUGACUUAAAAGUUUUUUCUUUAAAAUUUUCCUUCAGAAUGUAACUAACUUGAAGUGUUUUGUCCGGAGGAUUAUUUGCUUGUUCUAUUUUGGGCCGAAGUAAAACAAUCUGAACUUGUCCUAGUUGUAUUUUUUGAGUUAUCAUGGCAGGAUUUUACUCAUCCGGCCCACGUGGGAAUAGAUUUUCCUCCAUGCAGCCCCUGAGCUAAA